This 126-nucleotide non-coding RNA is filed under the name Azotobacter vinelandii. RNAcentral describes it as "rmf RNA". It matches the Rfam family "rmf RNA". Lineage: Bacteria; Pseudomonadati; Pseudomonadota; Gammaproteobacteria; Pseudomonadales; Pseudomonadaceae. The record is from RNAcentral.
UUGGAUAGAAAUCGAUCAGUCCCCCGCCGCAACGGUGGGGGGAGAAACCGCGACGCCGGCAGCGGUUUCGUCGGCAGCCAAGGCCGCCAGGUCUCGCCAUGAGGCCAAUGGGACAUAACAGUCAAC